AAAUUGAUGGGUUGCCCAGCAUGGGUGGUCCCCAUGGUAAUAUGGGUCAAAUGGGCAACCUAAACCUACCCAUGAGUCAAAUGGGCAGCGUGUCCAUGGGCCAAAUGGGAAACAUUCCUGCCGUUCAAGGACUGCCGGCUGCAGCUGCCAUGAGCGGCGGAGGCGGUGGCCCCAAUGGGUACUUCCAGGGAGCCGGGCCAGAUCUCAUGCCUGGUAAUCCAUAUCAUCAGCAGCAGCAACAACAACAACAGUACGUGCAAGCAUUAAUGAACCAACAGAGGGCAAUGGGUAAUGAGAGGUUUCAACCCAUGAUGUAUGCGAGGCCCCCACCUGCAGUCAAUUACAUGCCUCCAUACCCGUACCCGUACCCGUAUCCGCC
This 379-nucleotide long non-coding RNA is filed under the name Manihot esculenta (cassava). Its description in RNAcentral is "long non-coding RNA (MESC_LNC008830)". Lineage: Eukaryota; Viridiplantae; Streptophyta; Magnoliopsida; Malpighiales; Euphorbiaceae. The record is from RNAcentral.